Non-coding RNA from Oncorhynchus mykiss (rainbow trout), 960 nucleotides. NCBI's taxonomy places the organism in Eukaryota, Metazoa, Chordata, Actinopteri, Salmoniformes, Salmonidae. The record is from RefSeq and is a predicted model, not a curated record.
UUCUCUUUGAAGAUACAAGGAAGUUUGAGCAUCUGUAUAAUUGUCGGCAAGGAAACGAGACGCUGCACAGCCCCCUAACAUUGUACGGCAAAGGAAAAUCUUGCGCAUGAGAGCAUGCAUACCUCUCACGUCAAUCAUGAUGAGUUCGUCAAAUAGUCACAAACUGUUACAUACUUUCCCGCGGAUUGAAGUAACGCUAUAUAGUGACACAAGUUUGAAGUUUUAGUGACAAGGAAUUGUCAGGAUGAAACAUGUCUGUCGAGGAGAAUGUUCCCCCCUUUUAGGAGGAUGACAGAGUAAAGUUUAUAAAAACAAACGUUUUGUCGGAUUUUGGAAGUGAGGCAGGAAACCUGGGAGAAGAAGUGUGUUACAGUCGAGGAAAGCCAGACCGCUCUGAAAGGUGUCUUCGAAAAGCAAAGUAUUGUUUUUUACUCUACCAUCGACUGGUGCUCCCCGAGGCAAGGCUGGUGACCAACGGGCAGGCUUUCUACUGGCUGUCUCAGCUGAGGCAUCGCUGGGACGAGCAGCAGAGACACUGCCUGGCUAACAUCUGUGAUGUUCAGUUCUUCUACUCCUACCAAUACCUGGUAGGAACACCUCUCGGCUGGUCAUCACCCCCUCAUUGACCGUUGUUUUCUACGGCUGCUGUACUGUAGGCUGCUCUGGUGCACACGGCUGAGACGGCGCAUCUGAGGUACUUUAUGGAUCUGUUGCUGGAGAGGGGCCAACCCCUGAUGCUGGUGGGGAAUGCAGGCGUGGAGAAUACUUCUCUGGUCAGGAAUCAGGUAGACCACCUGACAAAUAUCGACAUGACCACUGAAGUACCCCUCAACUACUACUGCACCUCCCUCAUGCUGCAGAGUACGACAGGCAGAAGAUAACCCUAAAUCCACCACUGUCAGUAUGUUGCCUGUAUGAAACCUACUUCUGGGAGCUUCACCAUCAACCCUGGACUCCAGG